Molecule: ribosomal RNA, 562 nt
Filed under: Pasteurella multocida
Lineage: Bacteria; Pseudomonadati; Pseudomonadota; Gammaproteobacteria; Pasteurellales; Pasteurellaceae
Description: partial 23S ribosomal RNA
Rfam family: Bacterial large subunit ribosomal RNA
Source: RNAcentral
UUUUGAAGGAAAAGCCCCCGUGAACCUUUACUAUAGCUUGACACUGAACAUUGAAUUUUGAUGUGUAGGAUAGGUGGGAGCCUUUGAAGCAGUGACGCCAGUCAUUGUGGAGGCGACCUUGAAAUACCACCCUUUAACGUUUGAUGUUCUAACGAAGUGCCUGAAACGGGUACUCGGACAGUGUCUGGUGGGUAGUUUGACUGGGGCGGUCUCCUCCCAAAGCGUAACGGAGGAGCACGAAGGUUUGCUAAUGACGGUCGGACAUCGUCAGGUUAGUGCAAUGGUAUAAGCAAGCUUAACUGCGAGACAGACAAGUCGAGCAGGUGCGAAAGCAGGUCAUAGUGAUCCGGUGGUUCUGAAUGGAAGGGCCAUCGCUCAACGGAUAAAAGGUACUCCGGGGAUAACAGGCUGAUACCGCCCAAGAGUUCAUAUCGACGGCGGUGUUUGGCACCUCGAUGUCGGCUCAUCACAUCCUGGGGCUGAAGUAGGUCCCAAGGGUAUGGCUGUUCGCCAUUUAAAGUGGUACGCGAGCUGGGUUUAGAACGUCGUGAGACAGUUCGGU